This is a long non-coding RNA of Quercus lobata, 724 nucleotides long. RefSeq lists it as uncharacterized. The transcript has 2 exons. NCBI's taxonomy places the organism in Eukaryota, Viridiplantae, Streptophyta, Magnoliopsida, Fagales, Fagaceae. The record is from RefSeq and is a predicted model, not a curated record.
CCACCCCCUUAUUUUAGAAAUCAAAUUUUAGAAUCUCUCUCUCUAAUCAAAUUUCAGAAAAUAUCUCUACUUUCAUUCCGUCACGGUUCUUAAACUCCAUCCUGCACCGCUCCAACACCGCGAGUUUCAGCCCUUUUAUCCACCCAUGCUAAUCCCAGGAAAAAAAAGUGGUGCUCUCCUUCUCUCUAUCGCUCUAUCAACAAACUCAGAUCUGAUGUUACAAAAGUGUCAUAUGUGGUUACAAAAAAAUACUACCCACGGCCCCUUUUCCAUUUCUUUGGCUAGAUUCAUGAACUUCCUCAACCCCCAUCUUUAAAGAGGCCAAAAGACCUGCCAAAACUCUUACCAAUUUCCACUCCCAUCGUUUUUUGCACUCACUUAACAAUUCUAGUGGCAGGAUUCUACCACAUCAAAAGAUGGAACUGAUAUGAUACGAUUAUGCCUUCAACUGUUGCAUGGGGAGCAAGCUAGCAGCAUAGAUGAAGAAGUGGAGAAGUGAAUUUUUGUUGAUGUUUAUCUUAUUUGUGUUUGAGACUUUGAGUUGUUAAAAUUGUAAGGUUGGAUAGAAUUUGAGUAAUAUUUUAAACCUUUUUAUUUUAGUUGAGUUUGCAUUGAGUCCUUGAAUUCAGCAUUUUAACUUUGUCAAUUGUCAUUGUUCCUUAUUUUAGCAUGUAAACAUUGUUGUCAACUGUAAAAGACAAAAGGCAUGAAUUACCUCAAUUAA